CGACCGACCCGUCCUCGAGGUAGGACCCGA
Molecule: small RNA, 30 nt
Filed under: Bombyx mori (domestic silkworm)
Lineage: Eukaryota; Metazoa; Arthropoda; Insecta; Lepidoptera; Bombycidae
Description: ovarian small RNA-14177
Source: RNAcentral